RNAcentral lists this long non-coding RNA (1374 nucleotides) under Heterocephalus glaber (naked mole-rat). RNAcentral describes it as "lncRNA (ENSHGLG00100041378.1)". Lineage: Eukaryota; Metazoa; Chordata; Mammalia; Rodentia; Bathyergidae. The record is from RNAcentral.
GGAAACGGUUCUAGGGCUGGAUUUGAGAAUCCCAUAUGCACGAUUGCAGCACACCAGGGCAUUCCAUGAUCCAACAGCCUUCUCUCCUUCCUGCCUCCACUGAUGCCAACGUGCAGUAACUGCUCAUUAGCAAAGAAGUAAUUUGUUUUUCCUCAGCCGUGCUUUAUUGCAUUCACAAGGAAUAGUGAGUGUUACUUUGGUGGUAUUUGGCGACUGGAGGAUUUGUGAAGCGUGGAUCUUUAAAUCUCCUCAAAAUGGACCAUUCCCCGGAAGAAGAUGCACUUAGUUUUACUCAGCACAGAUCUUGAAGUUCAACAGACUGAAACGGCAAGAUAUUGUAGAAGCCACAUUAACUAUUAAGGCUCAAGGGAAAAGGUAAGUGUAUGGUGUUGAUAUUUAAUAUAUUUUUAGAGAAAUACUGAGUACACUGAACCUAUUUUCCAAAUUGUCAAAAACAAGGAGGAAAGAAGGAAUAGGACAACCAUAAGAAAGCACAAAGGGGAAAGAAAAGAAAGGAAAACCUGAUCAAUCAGGUAUCACUCUGUCACAGUGUGGGAGAUGAGUUUCACUUUGUGCAUUGUAGAUCCAGUGGACACAACUGCCACCUCUCUCUCUCUUUUACACACACACACACAAACACACAUGCACAAUGCAUGCACACACAUGUACAUACACACACUGGCUGGACUACACAUGUAAUAGCUGUUAAGUCUCAAUUAUUUACUGAUCCCUCAAAUACUACUAUGGUAAUAAUAUUAGCCAUCAAGUACUGAGGUUUCCUGUACACUAGCUAUCAUGAUACUUUGCAUUAAUUACUACAGUAUUUUCAUUCCAAAUUUAUAGAUGAUGAAUCUGAAAGAUGGGAUGAUAUUUUUCAGUCAAAAGUCACUCACAUCUUACAUGGAAGAGCCACAUUUUUAAAUCAUACCACUUGACUUCAGUCUGGACUUUGGCAAUCUACGUCUUUAUUUCUCUAUCCUCAAGUGAAAGAUGGAAGGAAGUGAAGGGAGGCCCACAGGGCUGUGCCACCUCUUAUGGCCCCAGUGACACCUAAGUCAGAGGCAGAUGAGGAGCUAGAGCUCAGCUAACUUGACUGCCAGAUCAGUGGCCUCUCCUUUGCACUCCCGAGCUUUAACUUUUAGUCAUGAAAUCUGUCACCACAAGUCAACUUCAGGCUACCUCUGGCCUUGCAAUGAGAUUUAGGGGGAGGUAUCUGAGCAUACACUAAAAAAUAUUUUGCAAAAACCUGCCUAUAAAUAUUUUUGAAAAAGAUGGCAUUAAAUCAGUUCAGAUUCUAGAUUGUUGGUGAUAGGAUACAAGAGAUGAUCGAAAAUAUAGUGAAUGUUUAGUUUUUUCUUUUAAAAAAUGUAUUAC